This 84-nucleotide transfer RNA is filed under the name Neptunomonas antarctica. RNAcentral's name for it is "tRNA_Leu_TAA". It matches the Rfam family "tRNA". From Rfam's summary of the family: Transfer RNA (tRNA) molecules are approximately 80 nucleotides in length. Their secondary structure includes four short double-helical elements and three loops (D, anti-codon, and T loops). RNAcentral also lists the same sequence under 2 other names. Lineage: Bacteria; Pseudomonadati; Pseudomonadota; Gammaproteobacteria; Oceanospirillales; Oceanospirillaceae. The record is from RNAcentral.
GCCCGGAUGGUGAAAUUGGUAGACACACAAGACUUAAAAUCUUGCGCUUGAAAGAGCGUGCCGGUUCAAUUCCGGCUCCGGGCA